This 381-nucleotide ribosomal RNA is filed under the name uncultured marine Chaetocerotaceae. Its description in RNAcentral is "SSU rRNA". It matches the Rfam family "Eukaryotic small subunit ribosomal RNA", at positions 587 to 972 of the family's 1831-position model. Lineage: Eukaryota; Bacillariophyta; Thalassiosirophyceae; Chaetocerotales; Chaetocerotaceae. The record is from RNAcentral.
AGCUCCAAUAGCGUAUAUUAAAGUUGUUGCAGUUAAAAAGCUCGUAGUCGAAUUUCUGGUUAGAGAGGGUGGUCCGACAUCUUUGUGGGUACUUAUCCUCUCCGGCCAUCUUUGGGACUAGCCUGUCUGGCAUUGAGUUGUCGGGCUGGGGAUUCCCAUCAUUUACUGUGAGUUAAUUGGAGUGUUCAAAGCAGACUUAUGUCGUUGAACAUCUUAGCAUGGAAUAAUAAGAUAGGACAGCAGUGCUAUUUUGUUGGUUUGCGCGCCGCUGUAAUGAUGAAUAGGGACAGUUGUGGAUAUUCGUAUUCAGUUGUAAGAGGUGAAAUUCUUAGAUUAAUUGAAGACGAACUACUGCGAAAGCAUUUAUCAGGGAUGUUUUCA